GACGAACGCUGGCGGCGUGCCUAAUACAUGCAAGUAGAACGCUGAAGGAGGAGCUUGCUUCUCUGGAUGAGUUGCGAACGGGUGAGUAACGCGUAGGUAACCUGCCUGGUAGCGGGGGAUAACUAUUGGAAACGAUAGCUAAUACCGCAUAAUAGUAGAUGUUGCAUGACAUUUGCUUAAAAGGUGCAAUUGCAUCACUACCAGAUGGACCUGCGUUGUAUUAGCUAGUUGGUGGGGUAACGGCUCACCUAGGCGACGAUACAUACCCGACCUGAGAGGGUGAUCAGCCACACUGGGACGGGGACACGCCCCAUACGCCUACAGGAGGCAGCAGUAGGGAAUCUUGGGCAAUGGACGGAAGUCUUACCGAGCAACGCCGCGUGAGUGAAGAAGGUUUUCGGAUCGUAAAGCUCUGUUGUAAGAGAAGAACGCGUGUGAGAGUGGAAAGUAGACAGUGUGACGGUAUCUUACCAGAAAGGAACGGCUAACUACGUG
This 495-nucleotide ribosomal RNA is filed under the name uncultured bacterium. RNAcentral describes it as "partial 16S ribosomal RNA". It matches the Rfam family "Bacterial small subunit ribosomal RNA", at positions 28 to 507 of the family's 1533-position model. The record is from RNAcentral.